Molecule: long non-coding RNA, 568 nt
Filed under: Prunus persica (peach)
Lineage: Eukaryota; Viridiplantae; Streptophyta; Magnoliopsida; Rosales; Rosaceae
Description: long non-coding RNA (PPER_LNC004357)
Source: RNAcentral
UCUGACUUACCCUUCUGAAAUGUUUUUAAAAAAAAAAAAAAAACAUGAAUUUAGCAGAAAUGGAAUAGCUUUAUGCUCUGUUUGGUUUCUUAUUAUUUAUAAAAUCGGUGCCUAAUAUAUUAAUAACAUCAAUUUUCAGGUUUAUCAAUGUCUAUGUGGUGUGGUGUAAAGUAAAAUUUAGCACAGCACCAAAUAUCAAGAAUAUUAAUCAAAUUAAGCAUAAUAUAGCGCUCACAAAAUUUAAUUAAAUCAAUAUUCGUAAAGAUUUCCCAAGAACCCUGUACUUAGAUUCCAAAGCUAACUCCAAGUUAAGAAAACAUGCAAACUACGCCCCUUAUCUCCUCCAAUAAUUUCAUCACCACUCUCUCUCUCUCUCUCUCUCUAAGAGCAUCUCCAGCGCAAGGCCUUUAGCCAAGGUAGGAGGCCCCUUUUGAAGGGUUUGGACCUCCAACACGCAACCAACAGCUCGAGCAAGGCCUGGGUCUCACCAGCCCGGGCAAGCCCAAGGGCAGAUCUUGCUUGGGCUUCAGCCUAAAGGCGCUGACAUUAGCGGUGAUGUCACGCUGAC